This is a non-coding RNA of Phalacrocorax carbo (great cormorant), 550 nucleotides long. The record is from RefSeq and is a predicted model, not a curated record. Lineage: Eukaryota; Metazoa; Chordata; Aves; Suliformes; Phalacrocoracidae.
GCAAUGCAAGGAGCCAACAGAGCAUGGCGUGGAAAAGGCUCUUCUUGUGGGUGUAGCUUGCGGGGCAAGCUACUUGCUCAUCGGUACCCAAUCUCUCUGUGCUUGCUGUUAACAGAAACCCAUUCUUUUAUGAAGUUCAUCCUCCUGAACAAUUACAUGGAAGAUGUUAUAGGAAAUGCCAUGCAUUUGCACAGCAUGAAGAAGGAGUUAUUCCUCACCCUGAAACCUGUCUUUAAGGAUUAACUAUGUUCUUCUGCAUGCCCCACACGGGAGGCUGAACAGAUGUUACGGAACAUGAUUAAGGCUUGCAGGAAUCAAGAAGACAAAGCAGGAGUUGAAUUAUCACAGAAGAAGAAUAAAGAGCAGAAUUUGAGCCCUUCACAGCCAAUCUGUUCUGCUCCUGCAAGGAAUAUACAACUAAGUCCUAUCCCAAUGCUGUGCUGAAGUCCCAUCUCCUCUCCAGAUGUCCAUCUUUUCUUGCACUUAAUUCUGGUCACACUGAUGCUCAGACCAGAAAUAAGGAAAGGAAAAAAUGAAAACAACUGUUAUG